UACUAUAUAGAUAGAUAGAUAGCUAAGUGAAUUAAAUAUCAUCAGCUGUCUAACUUCAUAUUAGCUAGCUAUCUUGAUGUAUUUAUCACUGUAAAAAACAAACUCCAAAUGCAUUUGUAGGUAGCUAGCUAACAACCAUGGAGGGUGAAAGGAUAGCAGCCCCUACUGUCAGUGAGAGAGGAGGCUAUUCUGGAUAGGGCAGGUACUUUUGUGUAGUUCCUGUCCCUAGAAGUGAGGACGGAGAUAAUAGUAACAUAAUAUUCAGUGUGGUGUAAUUUGACUAUAAUGAAGUGUGUUUCUUGUGAGGUUUUCUGUCCUCAGAUAAAGAGCUCUAUGAAAGCCAGUCUACAUAUGAAGAGGUCCCAAUGAAGAGCAGUGGUUCUUAGUCCUGGGGACUCAAAGAGGCACAUUGUUGUUUUUGCCUCAGCACUGCACAGCUGAUUCAAAUGAUCAACUCAUUAUCAAGCUUCAAGUGGUAUUUAUGUAUUCAUUUGUGAUGCUAUCCUUGAUAUGAUCCUGUUAUUGUCACAUGCUACACAUGUACAUAUGUGUGCCCAUGGAUCUAUCAAUCCAAUGUUAUCAUGAUUUGUUAUCAGGGAUAUUAUACUUUAGUAAUCCACAAUGACCUGGUGAUGUAAAAGUCUAAUAAUUACAUUGUCUUCCAUAUUGCUACAGAUACUUUGUAACUGGAGAUUCCUUCAAAACGAUUGCCUACAGUUACCGUGUAGGGCACUGCAAGGUUGGGUGACCAGGGUCAUCUGGGACUGCCUCCUGGAGGAAUUCAGGUGUGUGAAGGCUACCUGUGUCCUGCGUAACUUCAUGAGGAUGGACACGAGGACCAGGAGGGGAUCUGCAGCUCGCCGCCGUGUCCCAGAGGAGGAGUCUGCUGCUCUGCAGGAUGUUUCAAGGAUGGGGUCCAACCACGCAGCAAGAGAGGCAAUCCGUGUGCAGGAGAUCUUCACCUCCUCCUUCUUCAAAGAGGGUGCAGUUCCCUGGCAACACCAUAGACUACACUAUGCACAACCAAAGGCUCUUUUAAGAGGGUGCUGUUCCCUAGCAACACCAUAGACUACACUAUGCACAACCAAAGGCUCUUUUAAGAGGGUGCUGUUCCCUAGCAACACCAUAGACUACACUAUGCACAACCAAAGGCUCUUUUAAGAGCCAUCCACAUUGCAAUAAGAGUAUUCUUCCAUUUACUUAGCUAUGUCAACUGCAGUUAUUCAAUUCACAGUUUCUCUCCCUUUGAUUUCUACUUCUCAGGUGAGGGUGCUGUUUAGGUAAGGGUGUGAUGUCUGUGCAAAAACAAAACAGGCUGUUUUAAAUAACCCAUAUUGAAAAAAUGUAGAACAAUUUGACACCCUAUAACCCACACACUCAUGUAUCAAUCCGAUUGAUGGAUUGUGUUGUGCAGUAAGCAGGCUCAGGUGUAUAACUGUGGCUCCUUCCACCUUCAAAGAAUAGGCAAGAGGGCCAACCAUGGAGAAUAGUUAUAUCAGCUGUGUCGGUGAACCACUCCUGCAUCUGAACUGGCUACAUAGAGGGCACAGCAUGAUCAGAAAUAUGUUUUGAUGUGAGAGGAUGCCAACCCCUAGUCCCAUCAUCGCCACCUCACCUGCUUUUAAGAUAACCUUUGGGCCGACUAGAGACACUGCUAUAUAAUUGUGAUGAACUGAGAGAAUAUUUAGGUAGCACUGUGAUUCAUUAAUCAUGUGCUGCCUUCCCUGGUCCUAUGUGCUUACCUCUUUCCCUUUCUGUCUUUUACACCUCUCUCUCCACCUCUUUCUUUCUCUGUUUUUAUAAUUCACAACAGAUGUGCAUUGAAGUACAGAUUGAACUUGUAUUUAUAACACUUGGAUAAUGAGCUUUUCAAUAAAGCGUUUCACAUUC
This is a long non-coding RNA of Salvelinus fontinalis (brook trout), 1890 nucleotides long. RefSeq lists it as uncharacterized. The transcript has 3 exons. The record is from RefSeq and is a predicted model, not a curated record. Lineage: Eukaryota; Metazoa; Chordata; Actinopteri; Salmoniformes; Salmonidae.